GAAAAAGGCUUUCGCCCACCUUUAUAUAUAAAGCAACAAUCGUCAUACAGGAUGCAAACCACUCGACAACACACACACACCCAAGGCAGAUACAAGGGAGCUGACGAACAGCAGCACUACUCCAAACGCCCCAAAGCAAACAAGUAGGCAGGAGAGCAUAGCUAAAGAUCUAAGGUCUCUCCACCGUGAACGAGUCACCGCGAGGAGACGAAGCCGCAACUCGACGAACCAGGGACUCCAAAGCGGUGCUUCCAGGAAAGAAACGACACUGGAGAGCUGCCAUAGCCCGAUCCAGUGAAUCGAGGUUUUCACCCGAAGUAACACAAAGAACGCAGGGCCACGGCGAUGGAGCCUUCAAGAAGGGAGCAACGCAUGGAGCAUAGCUAAAGAUCUAAGGGCUCUCCACCGUGAACGAGUCACUGCGAGGAGACGAAGCCGCAACUCGAUGAACCAGGGACUCCAAAGCGGUGCUUCCAGGAAAGAAACGACACCGAAGAGCUGCCACAGCCUGAUCCAGUGAAUCGAGGUUUUCACCUGGAGUAACACAAAGAACGCAGGGCCGCGGCGAUGGAGCCUUCAAGAAGGGAGAAACGCAUGGAGCAUAGCUAAAGAUCUAAGGGCUCUCCACCUUGAACGAGUCACCGCGAGGAGACGAAGCCGCAACUCGACGAACCAGGG
RNAcentral lists this long non-coding RNA (678 nucleotides) under Triticum aestivum (bread wheat). Its description in RNAcentral is "long non-coding RNA (TAES_LNC010538)". The record is from RNAcentral. Lineage: Eukaryota; Viridiplantae; Streptophyta; Magnoliopsida; Poales; Poaceae.